RNAcentral lists this ribosomal RNA (253 nucleotides) under uncultured bacterium. RNAcentral describes it as "partial 16S ribosomal RNA". It matches the Rfam family "Bacterial small subunit ribosomal RNA", at positions 524 to 776 of the family's 1533-position model. The record is from RNAcentral.
UACGGAGGGGGCUAGCGUUGUUCGGAAUUACUGGGCGUAAAGCGCGCGUAGGCGGACCUGCAAGUCGGGGGUGAAAGCCCGAGGCUCAACCUCGGAACUGCCUUCGAUACUGCGGGUCUCGAGUCCGGGAGAGGUGAGUGGAAUUCCUAGUGUAGAGGUGAAAUUCGUAGAUAUCUGGAGGAACACCGGUGGCGAAGGCGGCAUCCUGGACCAAUAUUGACGCUGAGGAGCGAAAGCCAGGGGAGCAAACGGG